UCUUCACUGAUGAUUGAUACAGUGACUUUCGUUCUUCUGAGUUUCACUGAAGCUAACAUUUUCUGUCCUGAGAAGA
Limanda limanda (common dab) is the source of this 76-nucleotide small nucleolar RNA. RefSeq annotates it as small nucleolar RNA SNORD59. The transcript has a single exon. The record is from RefSeq and is a predicted model, not a curated record. Lineage: Eukaryota; Metazoa; Chordata; Actinopteri; Pleuronectiformes; Pleuronectidae.